This 208-nucleotide non-coding RNA is filed under the name Bacteroidota bacterium. The record is from RNAcentral. Lineage: Bacteria; Pseudomonadati; Bacteroidota.
UAUAUUUGCCCCGCUAAUGGUGCCUUAAGGGCUUAAUAGGGAAUCCGGUGCCCUACCAAGGAAGUCCGGAACAGUACCCGCUGCUGUAGUCCCGAAAAUAAAAGUCCCCGAAACCUACGCCACUGUUGGAAAAAUGCUAAGCAUGAGUACGAUGGGAAGGCCUCGGGGAUGGGAAAGUCAGAAGACCUGCCAAAAGCAACUGCUACAA